RNAcentral lists this ribosomal RNA (255 nucleotides) under uncultured bacterium. Its description in RNAcentral is "partial 16S ribosomal RNA". It matches the Rfam family "Bacterial small subunit ribosomal RNA", at positions 335 to 586 of the family's 1533-position model. The record is from RNAcentral.
GUCCCUACGGGGCGCAGCAGUGAGGAAUAUUGGUCAAUGGCCGAGAGGCUGAACCAGCCAAGUCGCGUGAGGGAUGACGGCCCUACGGGUUGUAAACCUCUUUUGUCGGGGAGCAAGACCCGCCUCGUGCAGGCGGAGCGAGAGUACCCGAAGAAAAAGCAUCGGCUAACUCCGUGCCAGCAGCCGCGGUAAUACGGAGGGUGCGAGCGUUAAUCGGAAUCACUGGGCGUAAAGAGUGCGUAGGCGGAUUUUCAA